This 750-nucleotide ribosomal RNA is filed under the name uncultured candidate division MSBL1 archaeon. Its description in RNAcentral is "bacterial SSU rRNA". It matches the Rfam family "Archaeal small subunit ribosomal RNA", at positions 571 to 1318 of the family's 1478-position model. Lineage: Archaea; Methanobacteriati; Methanobacteriota. The record is from RNAcentral.
CUUGCAAGGGAAACUGUCGGUCUUGGGGCUGGCAGGCGUCGAGGGUACUCCAGGGGUAGCGGUGAAAUGCUAUAAUCCUUGGGGGACCGCCAGUGGCGAAAGCGCUCGACGAGACCAGACCCGACGGUGAGGGACGAAGGCCAGGGGCGCGAACCGGAUUAGAUACCCGGGUAGUCCUGGCUGCAAAGGAUGUGGACUAGGUGCUAGGCGUUCCUCGAGAGCGCCCGGUGCCGAAGGGAAGCCAUUAAGUCCACCGCCUGGGAAGUACGGUCGCAAGACUGAAACUUAAAGAAAUUGGCGGGGGAGCACCACAAGGGGUGGAGCCUGCGGUUUAAUUGGAUUCAACGCCGGACAACUCACCGGGGGCGACGGCAGAGUGGAGGCCAAGCUGACGACUUUGCCGGACUCGCCGAGAGGCGGUGCAUGGCCGCCGCCAGCUCGUAUCGUGAGACGUCCUGUCAAGUCAGGUAACGAGCGAGACCCUCGCCCUUAGUUGCCUUCGGAUUCCGUAAGGAACGCCGGGCACUCUAAGGGGACCGCUGUCGAUAAGACAGAGGAGGGAGAGGGCGACGGUAGGUCCGUAUGCCCCGAAUCCCCCGGGCAACACGCGGGCUACAAUGCGUAGGGCAGAGGGCUGCGACCCCGAGAGGGGAAGCUAAUCCCUAAACCUGCGCUUAGUUCGGAUCGAGGGCUGCAACCCGCCCUCGUGAAGCUGGAAUCCCUAGUAAUCGCGUGUCACUUAUCACGCGG